CUCUGUGACUCCUACGGGAGGCAGCAGUGGGGAAUAUUGCACAAUGGGCGCAAGCCUGAUGCAGCAACGCCGUGUGAGUGAAGAAGGUUUUCGGAUCGUAAAACUCUGUCCUAAGGGAAGAAACAAAUGACGGUACCUUAGGAGGAAGCCCCGGCUAACUACGUGCCAGCAGCCGCGGUAAUACGUAGGGGGCAAGCGUUAUCCGGAAUCACUGGGCGUAAAGGGUGCGUAGGCGGCUUAGCAAGCCAGGGGUGAAAGGCAUUGGCUCAACCAAUGUAAGCCUUUGGAACUGUUAAGCUUGAGUGCAGGAGAGGUAAGUGGAAUUCCUAGUGUAGAGGUGAAAUUCGUAGAUAUUAGGAGGAACACCCAGUGGCGAAGGCGACUUACUGGACUGUAACUGACGCUGAUGCACGAAAGCGUGGGUAGCGAACAGGAUUAGAUACCCUGGUAG
This 451-nucleotide ribosomal RNA is filed under the name uncultured bacterium. RNAcentral's name for it is "bacterial SSU rRNA". It matches the Rfam family "Bacterial small subunit ribosomal RNA", at positions 328 to 793 of the family's 1533-position model. The record is from RNAcentral.